This 711-nucleotide ribosomal RNA is filed under the name Nakaseomyces glabratus. Its description in RNAcentral is "LSU rRNA". It matches the Rfam family "Eukaryotic large subunit ribosomal RNA", at positions 1 to 660 of the family's 3401-position model. The record is from RNAcentral. Lineage: Eukaryota; Fungi; Ascomycota; Saccharomycetes; Saccharomycetales; Saccharomycetaceae.
AUCUAGGGGAGGGAUAAGUGAGUGUUUUGUGCGUGCUGGGCAGACAGACGUCUUUAAGUUUGACCUCAAAUCAGAUAGGGUUACCCGCUGAACUUAAGCAUAUCAAUAAGCGGAGGAAAAGAAACCAACUGGGAUUGCCUUAGUAACGGCGAGUGAAGCGGCAAAAGCUCAAAUUUGAAAUCUGGUACCUUUGGUGCCCGAGUUGUAAUUUGGAGAGUACCACUUUGGGACUGUACUUUGCCUAUGUUCCUUGGAACAGGACGUCAUGGAGGGUGAGAAUCCCGUGUGGCGAGGGUGUCAGUUCUUUGUAAAGGGUGCUCGAAGAGUCGAGUUGUUUGGGAAUGCAGCUCUAAGUGGGUGGUAAAUUCCAUCUAAAGCUAAAUACAGGCGAGAGACCGAUAGCGAACAAGUACAGUGAUGGAAAGAUGAAAAGAACUUUGAAAAGAGAGUGAAAAAGUACGUGAAAUUGUUGAAAGGGAAGGGCAUUUGAUCAGACAUGGUGUUUUGCGCCCCUUGCCUCUCGUGGGCUUGGGACUCUCGCAGCUCACUGGGCCAGCAUCGGUUUUGGCGGCCGGAAAAAACCUAGGGAAUGUGGCUCUGCGCCUCGGUGUAGAGUGUUAUAGCCCUGGGGAAUACGGCCAGCCGGGACCGAGGACUGCGAUACUUGUUAUCUAGGAUGCUGGCAUAAUGGUAUAUGCCGCGUCUUGAAAC